AAACCCACACAAACUAAUCAUCGCCCACCACCCUCCAACGAUCACCAACCAAAACCCCUCCACACGCCCGCCCGCGCGCGCCACGGACGCAGCAAUGGCCGCCCUCGCCGCCUCCAUCGCCACCUCCACGGCGUUCGCCGCGAAGCCGCGCCUGUCCCGCCCGCCGGCGCGCCUCUCCGUCUCCUGCUCCGCGUCCAGCGGCGACAACAACAACAGCACCGCCACCCCCUCGCUCUCCGCCUCCAUCAAGACCUUCUCGGCCGCGCUGGCGCUCUCCUCCGUGCUCCUCUCCUCCGCCGCCACCUCCCCGCCCCCCGCGGCUGCCGACAUCGCCGGCCUGACCCCGUGCAAGGAGUCCAAGGCCUUCGCCAAGCGGGAGAAGCAGUCGGUCAAGAAGCUCAACUCGUCGCUCAAGAAGUACGCGCCCGACUCCGCCCCGGCGCUCGCCAUCCAGGCCACCAUCGACAAGACCAAGCGCCGGUUCGAGAACUACGGCAAGUUCGGCCUGCUCUGCGGCUCCGACGGCCUGCCCCACCUCAUCGUCAGCGGCGACCAGCGGCACUGGGGCGAGUUCAUCACCCCCGGCGUGCUCUUCCUCUACAUCGCCGGCUGGAUCGGCUGGGUCGGACGCAGCUACCUCAUCGCCGUCAGCGGCGAGAAGAAGCCCGCCAUGAGGGAGAUCAUCAUCGACGUCGAGCUCGCCGCCAGGAUCAUCCCCAGGGGCUUCAUCUGGCCCGUCGCCGCAUACCGCGAGCUCAUCAACGGCGACCUCGUCGUCGACGACGCCGACAUCGGCUACUAAGAAGCUGCCAUGCGUGCGUGCGUGCGUGGUUGGCUAGUCGGUCCCAAGUCAGGUGAGCUCUGCAUCCAUGCCUGAAUGUGUUCUGCUCUGUCAUGCCAUGCCAUGGCUCAACUGAUUAACUUGUCUUGCGUUCUUGUUUGCUUUGGCAGAUGGGCAGCGGAGGAUGAGGGCUUGUGGUGUCGAUCUGUGUGGGCUUGGUGUAGGAGCUGAUAGGAUCAUGGAGAAAUGGAACCUCUCUUGUAUUUAAGAAACUGAACCCAAUCUUGUAUAACUAUUGUGUUCUCUCUUCACAUGUGUGUAUUUUACCAUUGUUCAAAUUGUUGAGAACGAUUUUAUUAUGCACAGCAUACUAUGAGUGCAACUGCAUCAACA
Molecule: long non-coding RNA, 1174 nt
Filed under: Hordeum vulgare
Lineage: Eukaryota; Viridiplantae; Streptophyta; Magnoliopsida; Poales; Poaceae
Description: long non-coding RNA (HVUL_LNC013953)
Source: RNAcentral